GUGAACGCUGGCGGUAGGCCUAACCCAUGCAAGUCGAACGGCAGCACAGUAAGAGCUUGCUCUUACUGGUGGCGAGUGGCGGACGGGUGAGGAAUACAUCGGAAUCUACUUUUUCGUGGGGGAUAACGUAGGGAAACUUACGCUAAUACCGCAUACGCCCUACGGGUGAAAGCAGGGGAUCUUCGGACCUUGCGCGAUUGAAUGAUCCGAUGUCGGAUUCGCUAGUUGGCGGGGUAAAGUCCCACCAAGGCGACGAUCCGUAGCUGGUCUGAGAGGAUGAUCAGCCACACUGGAACGGAGACACGGUCCAGACUCCUGAGGGAGGCAGCAGUGGGGAAUAGUGGACAAUGGGCGCAAGCAUGAUCCAGCCAGACCGCGUGGGUGAAGAAGGCCUUCGGGGUGUAAAGACCUUUUGUUGGGAAAGAAAAGCAGCAGGUUAAUACCCAGCUGUUCUGACGGUACCCAAAGAAUAAGCACCGGCUAACUUCGUG
This 491-nucleotide ribosomal RNA is filed under the name uncultured bacterium. Its description in RNAcentral is "partial 16S ribosomal RNA". It matches the Rfam family "Bacterial small subunit ribosomal RNA", at positions 29 to 507 of the family's 1533-position model. The record is from RNAcentral.